CACGUAGGGUGCAAGCGUUGUCCGGAUUCAUUGGGCGUAAAGGGCUAGUAGGCGGCUUAGCAAGUCGGGUGUGAAAACUUCAGGCUCAACCUGGAGCGGCCAUCCGAUACUGCUAUGGCUAGAGUCCGGUAGGGGACCACGGAAUUCCUGGUGUAGCGGUGAAAUGCGCAGAUAUCAGGAGGAACACCGGUGGCGAAGGCGGCAUCCUGGACCGACACUGACACUGAGGAGCGAAAGCCAGGGGAGCAAACGGG
Molecule: ribosomal RNA, 254 nt
Filed under: uncultured bacterium
Lineage: Bacteria
Description: partial 16S ribosomal RNA
Rfam family: Bacterial small subunit ribosomal RNA
Source: RNAcentral